RNAcentral lists this ribosomal RNA (1499 nucleotides) under metagenome. Its description in RNAcentral is "bacterial SSU rRNA". It matches the Rfam family "Bacterial small subunit ribosomal RNA". The record is from RNAcentral.
AGAGUUUGAUCAUGGCUCAGAUUGAACGCUGGCGGCAGGCCUAACACAUGCAAGUCGAACGGUAACAGGAAGCAGCUUGCUGCUUCGCUGACGAGUGGCGGACGGGUGAGUAAUGUCUGGGAAGCUGCCUGAUGGAGGGGGAUAACUACUGGAAACGGUAGCUAAUACCGCAUAAUGUCGCAAGACCAAAGAGGGGGACCUUCGGGCCUCUUGCCAUCGGAUGUGCCCAGAUGGGAUUAGCUUGUUGGUGGGGUAACGGCUCACCAAGGCGACGAUCCCUAGCUGGUCUGAGAGGAUGACCAGCCACACUGGAACUGAGACACGGUCCAGACUCCUACGGGAGGCAGCAGUGGGAAUAUUGCACAAUGGGCGCAAGCCUGAUGCAGCCAUGCCGCGUGUAUGAAGAAGGCCUUCGGGUUGUAAAGUACUUUCAGCGGGGAGGAAGGGAGUAAAGUUAAUACCUUUGCUCAUUGACGUUACCCGCAGAAGAAGCACCGGCUAACUCCGUGCCAGCAGCCGCGGUAAUACGGAGGGUGCAAGCGUUAAUCGGAAUUACUGGGCGUAAAGCGCACGCAGGCGGUUUGUUAAGUCAGAUGUGAAAUCCCCGGGCUCAACCUGGGAACUGCAUCUGAUACUGGCAAGCUUGAGUCUCGUAGAGGGGGGUAGAAUUCCAGGUGUAGCGGUGAAAUGCGUAGAGAUCUGGAGGAAUACCGGUGGCGAAGGCGGCCCCCUGGACGAAGACUGACGCUCAGGUGCGAAAGCGUGGGGAGCAAACAGGAUUAGAUACCCUGGUAGUCCACGCCGUAAACGAUGUCGACUUGGAGGUUGUGCCCUUGAGGCGUGGCUUCCGGAGCUAACGCGUUAAGUCGACCGCCUGGGGAGUACGGCCGCAAGGUUAAAACUCAAAUGAAUUGACGGGGGCCCGCACAAGCGGUGGAGCAUGUGGUUUAAUUCGAUGCAACGCGAAGAACCUUACCUGGUCUUGACAUCCACGGAAGUUUUCAGAGAUGAGAAUGUGCCUUCGGGAACCGUGAGACAGGUGCUGCAUGGCUGUCGUCAGCUCGUGUUGUGAAAUGUUGGGUUAAGUCCCGCAACGAGCGCAACCCUUAUCCUUUGUUGCCAGCGGUCCGGCCGGGAACUCAAAGGAGACUGCCAGUGAUAAACUGGAGGAAGGUGGGGAUGACGUCAAGUCAUCAUGGCCCUUACGACCAGGGCUACACACGUGCUACAAUGGCGCAUACAAAGAGAAGCGACCUCGCGAGAGCAAGCGGACCUCAUAAAGUGCGUCGUAGUCCGGAUUGGAGUCUGCAACUCGACUCCAUGAAGUCGGAAUCGCUAGUAAUCGUGGAUCAGAAUGCCACGGUGAAUACGUUCCCGGGCCUUGUACACACCGCCCGUCACACCAUGGGAGUGGGUUGCAAAAGAAGUAGGUAGCUUAACCUUCGGGAGGGCGCUUACCACUUUGUGAUUCAUGACUGGGGUGAAGUCGUAACAAGGUA